RNAcentral lists this ribosomal RNA (116 nucleotides) under Acidaminococcus fermentans. Its description in RNAcentral is "16S rRNA. Bacterial SSU". It matches the Rfam family "Bacterial small subunit ribosomal RNA", at positions 19 to 135 of the family's 1533-position model. The record is from RNAcentral. Lineage: Bacteria; Bacillati; Bacillota; Negativicutes; Acidaminococcales; Acidaminococcaceae.
CUGGCUCAGGACGAACGCUGGCGGCGUGCUUAACACAUGCAAGUCGAACGGAGAACUUUCUUCGGAAUGUUCUUAGUGGCGAACGGGUGAGUAACGCGUAGGCAACCUGCCCUCUG